CGGCAACCGGCGGCGAUGCGGACCUCUCCCGGGCUCGGGGACCACCCGCGGCCCCCGACGGCUCUCGGAGCCGGCCAGGGUGGGGGCCUCAGGGCCAGGGUGGGCCUCGCAAACUUGGACGUUUACGUUCUCGGCUUCCUCCCAGCCUAGGCAGUGAGUGCAAACUCGAGCCGUCCGCGCUAACGAGCCCGGGCGACUGCGGCGAGCGCGGGUCAGCGGCGCGGGUCUGGGGUCGCGAGUGCCUCAGGAGCGCGGCCCGAGGGAGCUCCGCCUGCCGUCGUCAGGCGCGGUCCGCAGUUCAGACCCAGGAUCCGUAAGGCCGCGGGGAGGACUCCCAAGACCCCAACCCCGUGCUUCCCCUUCGGAAUCUAAGCUCCCAGGCAGGAAAGAGUUAUCUACACUCGCUGCCUCUGCUCCAGUUCACUUCUCGACCUGGGCAAAUCCUGGACAAUUGGAAGGACUUCUCGGUCGUCGUUUUCACCUCACAGGUUCUCCUGGUGCCUGCUUGGUGCCAGGCACUGUGGUGACCCUAGAGGACUGCACGGAUAGCCCCUAGGGUCCUAGCACUUCCUGGAGAUGAGCGACGUGCAGACACCUAUGUGCUUACUUGGGGUGAGCUAAGAUCUUCCUGCCUAUCCUGGUAAACUCGACAACUGCCACCUGCCCACUUCUCUGUCCCUCUGUACAGACCUGCCUAGCGCCCCACACUCGGUUUUCCCACCUAAGAUACCCCUCAGAUCUCUCACACAAGCCCCCCCUUCCCCGACACCACUGACUCCCACACUUUAUUUUUUUAAUUUAUUUUGUUUAUUUUUGCAGAAGUGGGAUUGAACCCAGGGAGCUCUACCACCGCGCUGCAUCCCCAGCCCUUCAUAUUUUUUUCUUUUGAGGCAGGGUCUCACUGGCAGCAGUAGCUGGGAACACAGGCAUGCUGGGAGUCUAGGUGGGUGUCCCCCUGCACAUCUUAAAUACAGCUGUCCUCCUCAAGAGUCUGGCUUCAUCUGAUCUCUGACUUUGGAGGCCUCCAUCCGUCCUUCCCCUAGUCACACACCCUUUCACUGGGAGCCCCUGGCCUCAGCCAUGCCUCUCACACACUACAUGCUCCCAAGAGCUCCCUCAGCUGCCUGUCCGCACCUCCGUCAGUGCCAGCUCCCUCCUGAAGUUCGAGGGUUCACCUCAAGACCUUGGGGUCUCCUUUGGCCCUCCCUCCUUCCACCUGCAAAUCCACGCCACUCCACCUUGCACACCUGCCAGAACCUAGCCACCCACCACCACAGGCUCGGUGCUGGGACUGUUUCCUGUGCUGCCUUACCACAUAAGCCACUCCCUGGUGCCCUGUGUCCAAAAGCCCCCACGGUCCCCAUUGUUCUUGGAUGACAGCCAAGUCCUCAGCAUGGUCUACAGGUCCUCCCGGACUUGGGGCCACAGAAUCCUCUCUGCCUUCAUUUCCCCCUCGCUCAUCCUGGCUUACCCCACCACCUGGCCUCCUUGCUGGCUCUGGCCCAGGACCUUGCAGUGCAGCCCCCACUCCCAGGAGCACCUUCCCAAAUAUCUGCCAGACUCUUUGAGUCUGUGCCUGACAUACCCAAUGGCCAUAGGAGCAGUCUGUUCCCCUGCCUGGCAGGAUGGGGCAGUGAUGGGCAGCAAUCAGCACCCAGGAGGAAGGGGGCCUGCUGGCAGAACCACCCCCUCCCCCUGGACCAGGCCAUUGCCAGGGCUGUGGCCUUGGCCCCCGGGCCACCCAGAGCCCCCUCUGGCACUAGACCUUGAUCCCUUCCUGAGGGGCCAGAAGAGAGAAGGACCCUAGGGGGUCCUCUGGUACCCUAGGACUUCCCCAUGGCUGUGUGAUUGAAGGAGACGUCAAGGUCCCAGCCCUGAUGCUCCUGCCCUCUGCAGGCAGGUGGGUCAGCCAGUGUUUCUUUCUGUCCACUGGACACCAUUUCUCAGACAUGCCCACCCAACACCCCGAUGGUCACCCUGGCCCAUGUCCAGCCCUGGAGCUCUUGAUGGUCAGAGCAGCCCUUCCUGGGUGAGGGGUCAAGGGGGCCUGCUGGGAAGCUAGUUUCCAGGGUCACUGCUGGCCCCCCAGUCCAGGAGGGAACAAGGGAGGGGCUGCUGGCAGCCCUUUGGAGAGUGAAGCCUCAGUUUUCUAUGGGGCUCUGAGGAGAGGGCACCUAAUCCAGGAGGAGGCCUCGGUGGGGUCCCAUCCUGUCUUGGACCACGUCCAGCCCUGGAGUGGGGGGGGGGUCCUGUGCAGCUUUGCAGAGGCUCCAGCAGAGGGCUAUCAGGAAAGCCUGCCAGGCCUCCCUCCCAAGCCUCCACCCACCCGGCCCAUCCUUCCUCUCCUGCAGGGUGGAGGCCUCCCAUCUGCAUUCUUCCCGCUGAGGAGACCAGCAAAACAGGCCUCCGCCCUGGCCCUGGGCCCGCCUGGAGGAAGAGGGACCAUGGCUUCCGGGAUUCCAACAGCCCCCCAGCCUGGAGACCCUCGGGGCUUCGGGUGCUGAGGGACAGGCAGGCAAGCUCACAGGACACGGUCACCAGGGUCACCAUGUUGCUUGGCAACAGGCACAGUGUUUGUUCCCAAAUUUAACACUCCCC
Molecule: long non-coding RNA, 2598 nt
Filed under: Marmota monax (woodchuck)
Lineage: Eukaryota; Metazoa; Chordata; Mammalia; Rodentia; Sciuridae
Source: RNAcentral